AGCCCGAUAGUAUAAGGGUAGUACAACAGAUUUUGGUUCUGUUUGUGGAGGUUCGAAUCCUUCUCGGGCUA
This 71-nucleotide transfer RNA is filed under the name Spirosoma sp. It matches the Rfam family "tRNA". From Rfam's summary of the family: Transfer RNA (tRNA) molecules are approximately 80 nucleotides in length. Their secondary structure includes four short double-helical elements and three loops (D, anti-codon, and T loops). The record is from Rfam by way of RNAcentral. Lineage: Bacteria; Pseudomonadati; Bacteroidota; Cytophagia; Cytophagales; Cytophagaceae.